Amyelois transitella is the source of this 765-nucleotide long non-coding RNA. RefSeq lists it as uncharacterized. The transcript is spliced from 2 exons. Lineage: Eukaryota; Metazoa; Arthropoda; Insecta; Lepidoptera; Pyralidae. The record is from RefSeq and is a predicted model, not a curated record.
AUUUUUUUAGUAGCUGCCGGAUUCGUUGCCAACUUCAUUUUAGUGCACGCAGUGCGUUUGUGCGAAACGCACGUGUUGGUGUGUUUGGCGCCAAUCGGUCCGUCAGACCGACGCGAGUAUAGGCGUAACUUUUAUCAUAUAUAUUAUUAUUAUUACAAGAUGGAUGAGCGGGCAAUUAGAUUGCUUUUGGAGGAAGAAAGUUCCGAAUCCGAUUAUGGGGAUGAAAAUGACAGUGAGGUGGAAGAUUUUGUUGAGGUAAAUGACGAAACUUAUGACACCGAGCAGGAUGGUGAUGAAGAAGAUGGCGAAGAGUUGGGCGAAGUGGAAAAUGUUCAAAGUUCGCGAGAAUUUUAUCUUGGGAAGGAUGGUCGGACACGUUGGAAUAAAGCUCCUGCAACAACCCAUGUGAGACGACGCGCUCGAAAUAUUGUCACCCAGCUUCCAGGACCAAAAGGAGAAGCCAAGAAUUUGAAGGAGCCAGGUGAAAUUUGGAGGUUGUUUUUUCCGGAAAGCGUCAUAAAUCGAAUUGUGAAGUGCACCAAUGAGCAUAUAAAUAUAAUAAAGUCUAAUUUCGCAAGGGAAAGAGACUGUUCUGAGACUGACAAUAUAGAAAUUGAAGCAUUUCUCGGCCUUUUACUCUUUGCCGGAGUCAGAAGAAACAGUCGCUUGAAUUCCAAAGAUUUAUUCAAAACUGAUGGCUCGUCACCGGAAAUAUUUCGUUUGACUAUGAACUGGACUAGAUUCUGUUUAUUGAUGCGUUGUCUA